UACAACCUUCAUAUUUUUCCUUUUUUUAAAAUUUUCAUUGUCUUCUAUCUAACAAUAUUUAAGAUCAAUGUUAAGUAUUGAUAUACUUUUUACAGAUCUAAAAAAUAAAAAUAAAAAGAAAAGGAAGAUUACAACCUUCAUCUUUUUCCUUUUUUUAAAUUUUCAUCAUCUUCUAUCUAACAAUAUUUAAGAUCAAUGUUAAGUAUUGAUAUAAUUUUUACAGAUCUGAAAAAUAAAAAUAAAAAAAGAAAAGUAAGUUUACAACCUUCAACUUUUUCCUUUUUUUAAAUUUUCAUUGUCUUCUAUCCAACAAUAUUUAAGAUCAAUGUUAAGUAUUGAUAUACUUUUUACAGAUCUGAAAAAGAAAAGUAAGAAAUAGUANNNNNNNNNNNNNNNNNAUUUAUUUUUUUAUAAAGCAUGCUAAAAAUGAUACGAAAUAAUAGAGUUUGAGGACAAAUAGAAUAAAUGAUACGAAAUAAUGAACAAAGAUGAUAAAUUAGCAAUUAGCAAAAAAAAAAAAACAGAGUUUGAUCGUAUCUUCAUACCUUUAGUGAAAGAGAAAACAAAUUUCGUAUACUUGUGUUGUUGUUCAAAAAAUGAAUAGUUUUCCUGCAAGAUGAGAAGAGAAAAAAUGAAGAUCAGACAAGUAGAAAGAUAAAAAUACUGAGAGAAAAAGAUAAAAGUAGUGAGAGAAAGAAGAGUAAGAAUGAAAUGUGAUAAAUGUGAAAGAGUAUAUAGUAUUCAAUGAUAUUUGAAAUUUGAAUUUGAAAAAUUUACCCCCAAAAUUGGUUGGUAAUAGUGUGAAUAGAAGUUUUGGAUUUUUCUAUCAAAAAGGUGUGAUUUGACAUAAA
Molecule: long non-coding RNA, 851 nt
Filed under: Trifolium pratense (red clover)
Lineage: Eukaryota; Viridiplantae; Streptophyta; Magnoliopsida; Fabales; Fabaceae
Description: long non-coding RNA (TPRA_LNC000047)
Source: RNAcentral